GACGUAGGGCGCGAGCGUUGUCCGGAAUUACUGGGCGUAAAGAGCUCGUAGGUGGUUUGUCGCGUUGUUCGUGAAAACUCACAACUCAAUUGUGGGCGUGCGGGCGAUACGGGCAGACUGGAGUACUGCAGGGGAGACUGGAAUUCCUGGUGUAGCGGUGGAAUGCGCAGAUAUCAGGAAGAACACCCGUGGCGAAGGCGGCUCUCUGGGACGGUACUGACGCUGAGACGCGAAAGCGUGGGGAGCGAACAGG
This 253-nucleotide ribosomal RNA is filed under the name uncultured bacterium. RNAcentral's name for it is "partial 16S ribosomal RNA". It matches the Rfam family "Bacterial small subunit ribosomal RNA", at positions 524 to 776 of the family's 1533-position model. The record is from RNAcentral.